UACGAAGGGUGCUAGCGUUGUUCGGAUUUACUGGGCGUAAAGCGUGCGUAGGUGGCUUUACAAGUCAGGGGUGAAAUCCUGGGGCUCAACCCCAGAAUUGCCUUUGAAACUGUAGAGCUAGAGUAUCGGAGGGGAUAGCGGAAUUGCUAAUGUAGAGGUGAAAUUCGUAGAUAUUAGCAGGAACACCGGUGGCGAAGGCGGCUAUCUGGACGACAACUGACGCUGAGGCGCGAAAGCGUGGGGAUCAAACAGG
RNAcentral lists this ribosomal RNA (253 nucleotides) under uncultured bacterium. Its description in RNAcentral is "partial 16S ribosomal RNA". It matches the Rfam family "Bacterial small subunit ribosomal RNA", at positions 524 to 776 of the family's 1533-position model. The record is from RNAcentral.